AAGUCAAGGAGGACACGACAAGGUAGCUAGCUCUACACGAAGAGAGCUUGCCCUGCCGCACCGCCGCCGCCGCCAUGGGAGGCAAGUCGUUCUUCUGCCCGAUCUUCAGCUUCCUGCGCAAGUCGCGGCGGUACGACGACGACAUGAGCGACUGGGACGGGCGGACGGGGUACGUGCGCAAGGUGCGCUCCAGCGACGAGGACUACGGCGGGUGGUGGAUCGGCGAGCGCGACGUCGACCGCAAGGCCUCCGACUUCAUCAACAACUUCCACCAGAAGAAGGUCGCCGUCUAGCCGCCGGCCGCCGACACCGGUAACGUACCAGUAGCAUGGUCAGCGACUGAUCAUAUCUACGGGGAACGACGAACGCCACUGCGACGACAUCGACAACGACGGCACGGGCGGCCGCGCUGCCGGCAGGCUCAUCACGCUCAUGCAGCUACGUUGUUACAUUUAGGUUCUUUGAUAUGUUUUUAUAUGUUAAUGUAUGUUGAUUAUAUUAGCUUAUCUCGUUUGUGGAUGACGUUGUUAUGCUGUGUUCAUUGAGGAUGAAUAAUUCUGGACGUACAGACCUAUAUUAGAUCAUUUCUAUUGUUUUGUUUGUGCUGUGUAUGUAGUACGUGUAUGUGUGUCCAUCUAUCAUGGAUGCAUGUAUGUGUCCAUCUAUCACACAUUCACACAUGUAUCACUCAUCACCCAAGAAAUAAUGUAUGUAUGAUCAUGCUAUCAUAUACAUGCACUGCACCUGCAACAGUUUCUUCUUUGGGACUAGUACUACUUAAUUAGUGUAGCAGUCGUAAUUUGUUCUCCUUGAUUAGCAUAUGUAGAAAUGUAGUCCCUGCACAUGCAUCAUUAAUAUACUAAGCUCUGGGAGAGGUAUCUAACGCCAACACUAUUAUUGCUUGACGAUUGCAUUUUGUACUUCGCUUGGAACUGUCAUCUUUAAUUUACCUUUGCACAAUAAUUAAAGAAACCUAGCAGAGGGCAAGCUUUCCGUAACUAUACAUGUGAUAAAUUGCAAAUACUAUAUGCUAGCUCCUGAAUUCAAUUCUAGGUCUGAAAAUUCAUAUAUCUGUGUUCUUAAUUAGUACAUGUAUCGAUCUAGCUAGCUACCAACAUUAAUUAGCUCCAUAGCUUCAUUUUUAGGCAUCCUUCAACGUCCAUGUAAAUAUGGCCAAAUAACCAAACCCAUUGAAUUCUCAAUCAUUGAAGCCCUUUGGAAAUAUUUUUUUAGUGCCUCGAAUUUUUAUUUUCA
This 1254-nucleotide long non-coding RNA is filed under the name Setaria viridis. Its description in RNAcentral is "long non-coding RNA (SVIR_LNC000959)". The record is from RNAcentral. Lineage: Eukaryota; Viridiplantae; Streptophyta; Magnoliopsida; Poales; Poaceae.